This 189-nucleotide small nuclear RNA is filed under the name Heterobasidion irregulare TC 32-1. Its description in RNAcentral is "U2 spliceosomal RNA". It matches the Rfam family "U2 spliceosomal RNA". From Rfam's summary of the family: U2 is a small nuclear RNA (snRNA) component of the spliceosome (involved in pre-mRNA splicing). Complementary binding between U2 snRNA (in an area lying towards the 5' end but 3' to hairpin I) and the branchpoint sequence (BPS) of the intron results the bulging out of an unpaired adenosine, on the BPS, which initiates a nucleophilic attack at the intronic 5' splice site, thus starting the first of two transesterification reactions that mediate splicing. The record is from Rfam by way of RNAcentral. Lineage: Eukaryota; Fungi; Basidiomycota; Agaricomycetes; Russulales; Bondarzewiaceae.
UUACCACUCUGGCCUUUUGGCUUAGAUCAAGUGUAGUAUCUGUUCUCUUUAGAUUAACCUCUAAAGUGGAGGCACCGCCUCCCUAAUUGGUUUUCUGAUUUUUGAAGCCCUUGCCCCUUAAGCUCUGCUUGCAACUCGAGGGUGUAAUGACUUUGCCACUGCACUAUUGGCCUAUGUUGUCCGGGGAUC